UCGGUUGUGGAGGCAGGCCACGCUUGCGAUGAAAACAGACGCAAGCAGAUUUCUCAGAAGAAAAUCUAAAGCCAUUCUCAUCGGCCCAUUUGAGAGGGUGGUGUGCAUUUAGGUCUCCCAGAAUAAAGAAUGGCUCUGGCAACUGAUUGAUAAGGUCAAGAAAAUCGCCUAGUGUGGGAUUGCUGUUUGGAGGUAUGUAAAGAGAGACUACAGUUGUCAGAUUUUUCAGUUGUGCCCUAACAGCCACUGCUUCAAAAGAUGUAUUUAGAGGUAUCUCUUUUAUGAUUACACCAGAGUUAGCCACAAUUGCAACACCCCCUCCGGUGCUACCUAUGCGGUCCUUACGGUAGACUGUGUGAUGUUUAAAUAGUUUUGUGUGUGUGUUCAACAUGGUUUCUUGCAGACAGAAGAUAUAUGGCCUAUGCAUAUCCAGUAGGGCACAAAUAUCAUCUUAGUUUUGAGCAGCGCCACGGCAGUUCCAUUGCAAUAUAGAGAUGCCCAUUAUACAGGCAAGCUGGAUAUACUCGAUGACGACUUCUGCGACAUGCAGUCAUCAUCAUCGACGUCCAUACU
Long non-coding RNA from Ornithodoros turicata, 573 nucleotides. RefSeq lists it as uncharacterized. Lineage: Eukaryota; Metazoa; Arthropoda; Arachnida; Ixodida; Argasidae. The transcript has 3 exons. The record is from RefSeq and is a predicted model, not a curated record.